GAUGAAGAACGUAGCGAAAUGCGAUAAUUAAUGUGAAUUGCAGAAUUUCGUGAAUCAUCGAGUCUUUGAACGCACAUUGCGCCUCAUGGCAUUCCGUGAGGCAUGCCCAUCUCAGCGUUAGAAAAUAUUCUCAAAUUUUAGUUUUGUGCUAAAAUUUGGAUCAUGUCAAGGAAGCUAUUACUAUUAUUGUGAUCGCUCUUUGGAAAUUGAUAGGUCUUUGAGUUGCUACUCAUAGAACGUGAUGAAUCUUUCUUCGUUCUAUUGUAAUUCACUCUGGUAGUCCUAAAAGUUGUAUGCCUGUGGCAUAUCUUGUAAUUUGACCUGAGAUUGGGUAGGGAUACCCGCUGAACUUAAGCAUAUCAAUAAGCGGAGGA
Molecule: unclassified non-coding RNA, 374 nt
Filed under: soil metagenome
Description: partial contains internal transcribed spacer 2 and large subunit ribosomal RNA
Rfam family: 5.8S ribosomal RNA (bases 1-120)
Source: RNAcentral